AAAUGUUAACAGAUGCCAGAUAUGUUUAGAUAAAAACGGAUGGGGCCAGAUAGGUUCACAUAAAAACGGAUGGAGCAAAUAGCCUGCUUACUGAGGAAGGGAUGUAAAUGGAAAAGAAAAAUCAGCACAAAUAAAUUAAGAAGACAACAUCUUAGAAUGCCAUGUUAUUAUCAUAGAACCAUCUGCAUCAUAGCCAACAUCAUCUUCGGAUCAAGCAACUGACUGCAACAUUACUAACACAGAACCCACUUAAGAUAGUUUUGUUACAAUCACAUUUGGUGAACCACAGCACAUAUAGGCAGAAGAUUUAUCAUUUCCCAAGUAACAGACUCAUUUCUUCCCACUUUUCUUCAGGCCAGAGCCACCAAUCGCACCCUUCUGUGCCUUGGCCUUCAGUUCCUUCAGCGCCUGUCCAUGCAACAUAGACAAACCUUCUGUGAGCAAAUAAGGAUCCCAACUGAAGAAACAAGCACCAUUUAGAAUUGAAUCUCACCUUUUCCUCAUCUUUCUUCUUCUGCAGAUACGCAAGAUCAGACUGCAAAGAUUGAUGGUAUCAGAAUGAUGUCAAGUGGAGACACAUUAUAACUGAUCACUGAAUCAGCUCAGGCAUCCUUUUCUAUUGCUACAUUCACUAGUUCUCCAAAUCAAAAGAGAUUUGGAUUUUUAUAGCAGUCACAAUAUCAUAUUC
Molecule: long non-coding RNA, 688 nt
Filed under: Setaria viridis
Lineage: Eukaryota; Viridiplantae; Streptophyta; Magnoliopsida; Poales; Poaceae
Description: long non-coding RNA (SVIR_LNC005045)
Source: RNAcentral